UCCGAAUUGGUGUAGUGGCUAACAUUUGACGCUCUCAUGGUUGGGAAUUGGAUCAAUCCCGCCAGAACCGUCAAGCCCGGGGUUCGAUUCCCCGAUUCGGAG
Hypoxylon sp. CI-4A is the source of this 102-nucleotide non-coding RNA. The record is from the annotation of a GenBank genome assembly. NCBI's taxonomy places the organism in Eukaryota, Fungi, Ascomycota, Sordariomycetes, Xylariales, Hypoxylaceae.